GCACUGCUGACGAACCCCAAACAGGACGAAACAGCUGUCCAGUGC
Echinostoma caproni is the source of this 45-nucleotide non-coding RNA. NCBI's taxonomy places the organism in Eukaryota, Metazoa, Platyhelminthes, Trematoda, Plagiorchiida, Echinostomatidae. The record is from Rfam.